Molecule: transfer RNA, 72 nt
Filed under: Legenere valdiviana
Lineage: Eukaryota; Viridiplantae; Streptophyta; Magnoliopsida; Asterales; Campanulaceae
Description: tRNA-Asn
Rfam family: tRNA
About the family: Transfer RNA (tRNA) molecules are approximately 80 nucleotides in length.
Source: RNAcentral
UCCUCAGUAGCUCAGUGGUAGAGCACUCGGCUGUUAACCGAUUGGUCGUGGGUUCGAAUCCGACUUGAGGAG